This is a long non-coding RNA of Peromyscus eremicus (cactus mouse), 921 nucleotides long. RefSeq lists it as uncharacterized. The transcript is spliced from 2 exons. The record is from RefSeq and is a predicted model, not a curated record. NCBI's taxonomy places the organism in Eukaryota, Metazoa, Chordata, Mammalia, Rodentia, Cricetidae.
CUGGGUGGUGGCUGGUGACUUCUGCUCUUUAAUUAUCUCCAGCGUCGGAGAAGAAGUUAGAGAGCAUCUUUGGACACUCUCCACCACCAGACGGCCACUGCUAAUCCAUCGCGGACCUCCAAAGGACAAGGACUGGAAAAAAGAGUAUUCACCGCUGCCCCAAAUCUGGAAAAUUCACUGGCUCCUCACCGGCUCCCUCACCACCUUGGGCAGGGUGCCUCUCUCCGUUAAUAUAUAAUUCUAACCAAGAGAGGAAAUCCACUGAAGGUCAGACUACAGAAGGCCAGCGUCCCGGGAGUGAGGCUAACCUUGACCGGCACUGGGCUCUGGCACCCGUCACCCUGGAGCUAGAAGCCUCUCCCUUAGUCCCACAGCCUCUGUGACACCCAAAGCAGGCGACCCCCAGAAAGAGUUUCAACCCUGAAGAUUCCCUUGGUAGUUCACCCAGGGUCCCAGGAGAGCAGGCGGUUUUCUCCUUGCCCAGGAAGUAACCAGAGAUGCUCUCUGCGUGGUCGGUUCUCCCACCGCCACCGAGGCGGCUCCAAGCAGUUCCUGGAACACCAUGUUAGGUGGGGGUCAGAGGCAGCUGACGGCCCUUCCGCAGGCUUCUUCUUGAGGAAUAGGGGGGGAUAGGAGUUGAAAGAAUGGGUGGUGCAAAAGUACUGGGUUUAAAGUCAUUUUCGUGCGCAAAACAAUAUUUAGGAAGGAAAAGGAGGAGGGAGGUUAGCCGGACAGAGGAAUGAAAACUAUAUAGGCACAAAAUACAGGCACAAAGUUUGAAAGGGGGCAUUAGAAGCCCCACCUGAAUGAGAAGACACUAUUUCCCCCCUAUUGUGCAGGGGAGGGGGUUGGGAAACGGUGUCACUGGAACUGGGAAUUAAUUUGUUUUAAUUUUUUUCAAUAAUGCACCAUCAGACCACC